This 350-nucleotide ribosomal RNA is filed under the name uncultured bacterium. RNAcentral's name for it is "bacterial SSU rRNA". It matches the Rfam family "Bacterial small subunit ribosomal RNA", at positions 917 to 1271 of the family's 1533-position model. The record is from RNAcentral.
GGGCCCGCACAAGCGGUGGAGCAUGUGGUUUAAUUCGAUGAUACGCGAGGAACCUUACCAGGGCUUAAAUGUAGUGGGACAGGUCUAGAGAUAGACCCUUCUUCGGACUCAUUACAAGGUGCUGCAUGGUUGUCGUCAGCUCGUGCCGUGAGGUGUCAGGUUAAGUCCUAUAACGAGCGCAACCCCUAUCGUUAGUUGCCAGCGGUUAGGCCGGGAACUCUAAGGAGACUGCCGAUGACAAAUCGGAGGAAGGUGGGGACGACGUCAAGUCAUCAUGGCCCUUACGUGUAGGGCUACACACGUGCUACAAUGGCCGGUACAAACGGUUGCGAACCCGCGAGGGAAGCUAA